Molecule: long non-coding RNA, 227 nt
Filed under: Carica papaya (papaya)
Lineage: Eukaryota; Viridiplantae; Streptophyta; Magnoliopsida; Brassicales; Caricaceae
Description: long non-coding RNA (CPAP_LNC010905)
Source: RNAcentral
AACAAAUACGAAAGUCCAUUUCAAUAAAUCUUCAAUUUUUCCAAUUUUAGUUACCUAAAAAGAGCACUUAGAAAUGUAGAUGAAAAUACUAAAGAAUCAUUUACCGUAACCAAGUUGACUUAGUCUUUUUUAAGUGAAUGAAAGCUUCAAGAAAUUUCUUGAUAAGCUUGCAAAAACUUGUACUCUCCUCUUUCUUUCUUGCUCCUUUCUCUCCCUUUAAUCUUGUU